CCUAAUACAUGCAAGUCGAACGCAUUGUGGCUGAAAUGAUAUGAAGUAACUUGUUCAGAUUUGAUUUUCAACAUUGCAAUGAGUGGCGAACGGGUGAGUAACACGUGGGAAACCUACCUCUUAGCAGGGGAUAACAUUUGGAAACAAAUGCUAAUACCGUAUAAUAAUUAAAACCGCAUGGUUUUAGUUUAAAAGAUGGUCUUGCUAUCACUAAGAGAUGGUCCCGCGGUGUAUUAGUUAGUUGGUGAGGUAAUGGCUCACCAAGACAAUGAUACAUAGCCGAGUUGAGAGACUGACUGGCCACAAUGGGACUGAGACACGGCCCAUACUCCUACGGGAGGCAGCAGUAGGGAAUCUUCCACAAUGGACGAAAGUCUGAUGGAGCAACGCCGCGUGUGUGAUGAAGGGUUUCGGCUCGUAAAACACUGUUGUAAGAGAAGUAUGACAUUGAGAGUAACUGUUCAAUGUGUGACGGUAUCUUACCAGAAAGGAACGGCUAAAUACGUG
This 507-nucleotide ribosomal RNA is filed under the name uncultured bacterium. RNAcentral describes it as "bacterial SSU rRNA". It matches the Rfam family "Bacterial small subunit ribosomal RNA", at positions 47 to 507 of the family's 1533-position model. The record is from RNAcentral.